This 414-nucleotide unclassified non-coding RNA is filed under the name uncultured Tuber. RNAcentral's name for it is "sequence contains ITS2". The stretch from base 1 to 154 matches the Rfam family "5.8S ribosomal RNA". The record is from RNAcentral. Lineage: Eukaryota; Fungi; Ascomycota; Pezizomycetes; Pezizales; Tuberaceae.
AACUUUCGACAAUGGAUCUCUUGGUUCCAGCAUCGAUGAAGAACGCAGCGAAAUGCGAUAAAUAAUGUGAAUUGCAGAAUUCAGUGAAUCAUCGAAUCUUUGAACGCACAUUGCGCCCCUUAGUAUUCCUCGGGGCAUGCCUGUUAGAGCGUCACUACAAACCCUCUCACAAAUAUUGUGGUAUUGAUGGAAGUGUACCAUGGUUACCUCCGUGUCCAUCUCACUCUGUUGAAAUAUAUGAGCAGAACAAUUCAUCUUUGUAACGAACUUAGUAAAUGUUUUCAAAACAUCAAUCAGUUCCUCACAAGUGUCUUGGCCUGACUCCUUUGGAUCCCCAUCCAAUAUGAACUUUGGGUUGACCUCGAAUCAGGUAGGGAUACCCGCUGAACUUAAGCAUAUCAAUAAGCGGAGGCU